RNAcentral lists this ribosomal RNA (407 nucleotides) under uncultured bacterium. Its description in RNAcentral is "partial 16S ribosomal RNA". It matches the Rfam family "Bacterial small subunit ribosomal RNA", at positions 28 to 526 of the family's 1533-position model. The record is from RNAcentral.
GACGAACGCUGGCGGCAGGCCUAACACAUGCAAGUCGAGCGGAGCGGCCGACGGGUGGGUAAUACCUAGGAAUCUGCCUGGUCGUGGGGGAUGACGUUCGGUAACGGAAGCUAAUACCGCAUCCUUUCAGCUGAGCAUAGGUCGGAUUAGCUAGUUGGUGUGGUAAUGGCUGACCAAGGCGACGAUCCGUAACUGGUCUGAGAGGAUGAUCAGUCACACUGGAACUGAGACACGGUCCAGACUCCUACGGGAGGCAGCAGUGGGGAAUAUUGCACAAUGGGCGAAAGCCUGAUGCAGCCAUGCCGCGUGUGUGAAGAAGGUCUUCGGAUUGUAAAGCACUUUAAGUUGGGAGGCGUUACCGACAGAAGAAGCACCGGCUAACUCCGUGCCAGCAGCCGCGGUAAUUC